UACGUAGGUGGCAAGCGUUGUCCGGAUUUACUGGGCGUAAAGAGCGCGCAGGCGGUCGGAUAAGUCGAAUGUGAAAGCCCCCGGCUCAACUGGGGAGGGUCAUUCGAUACUGUUCGACUCGAAGGCAGGAGAGGGAAGUGGAAUUCCCGGUGUAGUGGUGAAAUGCGUAGAUAUCGGGAGGAACACCAGUGGCGAAGGCGACUUCCUGGCCUGUUCUUGACGCUGAGGCGCGAAAGCUAGGGGAGCACACGGG
This 253-nucleotide ribosomal RNA is filed under the name uncultured bacterium. Its description in RNAcentral is "partial 16S ribosomal RNA". It matches the Rfam family "Bacterial small subunit ribosomal RNA", at positions 524 to 776 of the family's 1533-position model. The record is from RNAcentral.